UUGGGUGAAAUCAAUGUAGGACAUAACACUUUGAAAAUGGAACCUACAUAAAGUGGUGGGACAUAUAUUGAUUUCACCCAA
Molecule: microRNA precursor, 81 nt
Filed under: Medicago truncatula (barrel medic)
Lineage: Eukaryota; Viridiplantae; Streptophyta; Magnoliopsida; Fabales; Fabaceae
Description: MIR5269 microRNA precursor family
Rfam family: MIR5269 microRNA precursor family
Source: Rfam by way of RNAcentral